RNAcentral lists this ribosomal RNA (465 nucleotides) under Vreelandella stevensii. Its description in RNAcentral is "partial 16S ribosomal RNA". It matches the Rfam family "Bacterial small subunit ribosomal RNA", at positions 338 to 795 of the family's 1533-position model. The record is from RNAcentral. Lineage: Bacteria; Pseudomonadati; Pseudomonadota; Gammaproteobacteria; Oceanospirillales; Halomonadaceae.
CCUACGGGUGGCAGCAGUGGGGAAUAUUGGACAAUGGGGGGAACCCUGAUCCAGCCAUGCCGCGUGUGUGAAGAAGGCCCUCGGGUUGUAAAGCACUUUCAGUGAGGAAGAACGCCUGGUGGUUAAUACCCAUCAGGAAAGACAUCACUCACAGAAGAAGCACCGGCUAACUCCGUGUCAGCAGCCGCGGUAAUACGGAGGGUGCGAGCGUUAAUCGGAAUUACUGGGCGUAAAGCGCGCGUAGGUGGCUUGAUAAGCCGGUUGUGAAAGCCCCGGGCUCAACCUGGGAACGGCAUCCGGAACUGUCAAGCUAGAGUGCAGGAGAGGAAGGUAGAAUUCCCGGUGUAGCGGUGAAAUGCGUAGAGAUCGGGAGGAAUACCAGUGGCGAAGGCGGCCUUCUGGACUGACACUGACACUGAGGUGCGAAAGCGUGGGUAGCAAACAGGAUUAGAUACCCCUGUAGUC